UCAACCAUCUCAAUCAUUUCAACGGCACUAUACUUAAGGCCUAAGGAUUUUCUGAAAUAAGCAAUUCAGUACACAAUAGGUACCUAUUGCCGUGUUUAUUAUCAAUAGACAUUAAUGUCGUGUCAGUGGCGUAUCGGGGGAGAUUAGGGAGAUACAUCUACUCAUUGGCCUUUUUUUUUUUUUUUGUAUCGAACAUUUAUACGAAACCCAUUUUCAUAUUCGAAAUUUUUUACUUUUUAGUAAAAAAAAAUCCACAAUUUAAUGUAUUGAUACUUUUAUAUAGCUAAUGUAUCAAAUAAAACUGAACGUAUACGCACAUUCUUGAUUAAAACGAAAGCUAUCAAAACCAUUUUAUUAUGAAGGAGGUUAAAUUAGUAAGUGAGCACCUAAAUAGCAACAGUAAUAAUAAUAGUAUACACUCGUAAAGUAAAUAAUUAUUCACCCUUUAAUUAUAAUUAUAUAUUUGAUUUUAACGGUAGUUAACGGACGGAUUG
Cinara cedri is the source of this 494-nucleotide non-coding RNA. NCBI's taxonomy places the organism in Eukaryota, Metazoa, Arthropoda, Insecta, Hemiptera, Aphididae. The record is from the annotation of a GenBank genome assembly.